UAAGACGAACCGUGCGAACGUUAUUCGGAAUCACUGGGCUUAAAGCGCGUGUAGGCGGAUUGGCGCGUCGUUCGUUGAAAGCCCCCGGCUCAACCGGGGAAUUGGCGGCGAUACGGCUGGUCUUGAGGAGCGCAGGGGAACCUGGAACUUCCGGUGGAGCGGUGAUAUGCGUUGAGAUCGGAAGGAACGCCCGUGGCGAAAGCGAGGUUCUGGACGCUUGCUGACGCUGAGACGCGAAAGCUAGGGGAGCAAACGGGAUUAGAUACCCCGGUAGUCCUAGCUGUAAACGAUGAGCACUUGGCAGCGGAUUCGUCGAUGGAUUCGCUGCCGCAGGGAAACCGUGAAGUGCUCCGCCUGGGGAGUAUGGCCGCAAGGCUG
This 378-nucleotide ribosomal RNA is filed under the name uncultured bacterium. Its description in RNAcentral is "bacterial SSU rRNA". It matches the Rfam family "Bacterial small subunit ribosomal RNA", at positions 521 to 896 of the family's 1533-position model. The record is from RNAcentral.